This 244-nucleotide ribosomal RNA is filed under the name uncultured bacterium. RNAcentral's name for it is "partial 16S ribosomal RNA". It matches the Rfam family "Bacterial small subunit ribosomal RNA", at positions 89 to 334 of the family's 1533-position model. The record is from RNAcentral.
UGGCGACCGGCGCACGGGUGAGUAACACGUAUCCAACCUGCCGAUGACUCGGGGAUAGCCUUUCGAAAGAAAGAUUAAUACCCGAUGGCAUAGUUCUUCCGCAUGGUAGAACUAUUAAAGAAUUUCGGCCAUCGAUGGGGAUGCGUUCCAUUAGGUUGUUGGCGGGGUAACGGCCCACCAAGCCUUCGAUGGAUAGGGGUUCUGAGAGGAAGGUCCCCCACAUUGGAACUGAGACACGGUCCAA